UAGGUUUGUUUUGUAUGGUCGCAACUAUU
This 29-nucleotide non-coding RNA is filed under the name Bombyx mori (domestic silkworm). Lineage: Eukaryota; Metazoa; Arthropoda; Insecta; Lepidoptera; Bombycidae. The record is from RNAcentral.